Molecule: ribosomal RNA, 468 nt
Filed under: uncultured bacterium
Lineage: Bacteria
Description: partial 16S ribosomal RNA
Rfam family: Bacterial small subunit ribosomal RNA
Source: RNAcentral
GACGAACGCUGGCGGCGUGCUUAACACAUGCAAGUCGAACGGAAAGGCUCUUCGGUGGGGGGGUGUGCGAGACGGGUAAGUGUGAGGAAGACGAGAGUAACCCGGCUCUGACAUAGGUAUAAGUACAGGAAACUAGUGCCAAUAGCGCACAGGUUCUCGCGUUGCAGGGGGUGGGUAGGAUAGCCUCCGCGGGUGGGGAUGGGCGCGUGGCUGAUCAGCUUGUUGGUGGGGUAGUGGCUUACCAAGGCUGUGACGGGUAGCCGGCCUGAGAGGGUGACCGGCCACAUUGGGACUGAGAUACGGCCCAGACUCCUACGGGAGGCAGCAGUGGGGAAUAUUGCACAAUGGGCGGAAGCCUGAUGCAGCAACGCCGCGUGCGGGAUGACGGCCUUCGGGUUGUAAACCGCUUUCGCCAGUGACGAAGCGUAAGUGACGGUAAUGGGUGAAGAAGCACCGGCUAACUACGUG